This 353-nucleotide ribosomal RNA is filed under the name uncultured Azospira sp. Its description in RNAcentral is "bacterial SSU rRNA". It matches the Rfam family "Bacterial small subunit ribosomal RNA", at positions 1030 to 1382 of the family's 1533-position model. Lineage: Bacteria; Pseudomonadati; Pseudomonadota; Betaproteobacteria; Rhodocyclales; Rhodocyclaceae. The record is from RNAcentral.
GGACACAGGUGCUGCAUGGCUGUCGUCAGCUCGUGCCGUGAGGUGUUGGGUUAAGUCCCGCAACGAGCGCAACCCUCAUCCUUAGUUGCCAGCAUUUAAGGUGGGCACUCUAAGGAAACUGCCGCAGUUAAUGCGGAGGAAGGUGGGGAUGACGUCAAGUCCUCAUGGCCCUUAUGUCCGGGGCUACACACACGCUACAAUGGUCGGUACAAUGGGUUGCUAAGCCGCGAGGUGGAGCCAAUCCCCCAAAGCCGGCCUCAGUUCAGAUUGCAGGCUGCAACUCGCCUGCAUGAAGCUGGAGUUGCUAGUAAACGCGCGUCAGCUAUAGUGCGUUGAAUACGUUCUCGGGCCUU